UACGUAGGGGGCAAGCGUUGUCCGGAAUUAUUGGGCGUAAAGGGCGCGCAGGCGGCCUCUUAAGUCUGAUGUGAAAUCUUGUGGCUUAACCACAAGCGGUCAUUGGAAACUGAGAAGCUUGAGUGCAGAAGAGGAGAGUGGAAUUCCACGUGUAGCGGUGAAAUGCGUAGAGAUGUGGAGGAACACCAGUGGCGAAGGCGACUCUCUGGUCUGUAACUGACGCUGAGGCGCGAAAGCGUGGGGAGCGAACAGG
This 253-nucleotide ribosomal RNA is filed under the name uncultured bacterium. Its description in RNAcentral is "partial 16S ribosomal RNA". It matches the Rfam family "Bacterial small subunit ribosomal RNA", at positions 524 to 776 of the family's 1533-position model. The record is from RNAcentral.